UACAGAGGUCUCAAGCGUUGUUCGGAUUCAUUGGGCGUAAAGGGUGCGUAGGCGGCGCGGUAAGUCGGAUGUGAAAUCUCGGAGCUUAACUUCGAAACUGCAUUCGAUACUGCCGUGCUUGAGGACUGGAGAGGAGACUGGAAUUUACGGUGUAGCGGUGAAAUGCGUAGAUAUCGUAAGGAAGACCAGUGGCGAAGGCGAGUCUCUGGACAGUUACUGACACUGAGGCACGAAGGCCAGGGGAGCAAACGGG
Molecule: ribosomal RNA, 253 nt
Filed under: uncultured bacterium
Lineage: Bacteria
Description: partial 16S ribosomal RNA
Rfam family: Bacterial small subunit ribosomal RNA
Source: RNAcentral